This is an RNA transcript of Eucalyptus grandis, 1921 nucleotides long. It is a transcript of the gene named magnesium transporter MRS2-2, with no coding region annotated. The record is from RefSeq and is a predicted model, not a curated record. The transcript is spliced from 11 exons. NCBI's taxonomy places the organism in Eukaryota, Viridiplantae, Streptophyta, Magnoliopsida, Myrtales, Myrtaceae.
UAGUGGGGGGGAGAACCUUUUGUCUUUCCCCCCGCCCCACCAAUCGCCAUCACCCGCUUCAUCCACACUCUCACUUCGCUAACUGCCACUCCCUCAUGCAUAUCUCCCCUACCUCUACCUCCACCGCCACCGCCACCACCACCACCACCGCCGCCGCCUCAUCGCCGUCGUCGCUCUCUCUGCACCUCCCGCCGCAGCACUAGAGCCGCCGCCGCCGCCGCCGCCUCCUCCGCCGGAUUCGCUCUCCGGCCGCUGCCGCCGGUUCCGGUAGCGGCGGGCCGGCGGGACGGGAGAGGCGCUCGAGGAAGCAGCCUGGAGAUGGCCCCCGACGACGGCAGCGGGCGCCGGUGCCGCCGCCGCCGCCGCCGCCGCCGCUGUGGUCGCGGCCGACGCUCAGGCUCCGGUGAAGAAGAUGGCGGCGUUCUCUCGGAGCUGGAUCCUGGUGAACCGCGAGGGGCGGAGCAGCUUGCUGGAUGUGGACAAGUACGAAAUCAUGCGACGGGUGGGGAUCCACGCCCGGGACCUGCGCAUGCUGGAUCCCAUGCUGUCGCACCCUUCCAAGAUCAUAGGCAGAGAGAAGUUGAUUGUCCUCAACUUGGAGCACAUUAAAGCUAUCGUCACGGCAGAGGAGGUGUUACUUAGAGAUCCAUCAGACGAGAAUGUCAUUCCAAUCGUCAAGGAACUCGAGAGGCGGCUGCCGGGAAGCGGUCAGUUCCAAGGUGAAGAGGACGAGCAGCAAGAAGCGAACAACGACGCUGAUGUCGGGGAGCAAAAUGAAUUUCCUUUUGAAUUUCGGGCAUUAGAAGUUGCAUUGGAGGCUAUCUGUAGUUUCCUUGAUGCACUCACAAUAGAACUGGAGACUGAUGCUUAUCCAGCUUUGGAUGAGUUGACUUCAAAGAUUAGCAGUCGCAAUUUGGAUCGAGUGCGAAAAUUGAAGAGUGGUAUGACAAGAUUGACCAAUCGUGUUCAGAAGGUGAGAGAUGAACUGGAAGAACUUCUUGACGAUGAUGACGACAUGGCAGACCUUUAUUUGUCGAGGAAACUCACUGGAGGGUCUUCUCCUGUCAGCUGGUCUGGAGCUCCAGAUUGGUUCUUUGCCUCUCCUACAACUGGCUCAAAAUUAUCCAGAACAAGUAGGGCAAGUGCGGUAACAGCUCACGAGGAAAAUGAUGUUGAGGAGCUUGAAAUGUUGCUGGAGGCAUAUUUCAUGCAAAUUGAUGGCACUUUAAACAAAUUGUCAACGUUGCGCGAAUACAUUGAUGAUACUGAGGAUUACAUCAAUAUUCAGCUUGAUAAUCAUCGGAACCAGCUUAUACAGGUAGGAUUCACAAGAUACACAAAACUCCACUAGCUAGAGCUCUUCCUCAGUUCAGGAACUCUGUGCUUGUCUGUAUAUUCUCUGGUAGCAGCGAUAUUCGGCAUGAAUAUUCCCAACGUGUGGCAUGAAGGUCAUGGUUAUGUCUUCAAAUGGGUGGUCAUUCUCGCCGGAGUUUUGUCUGGAUCCAUUUUCCUGUCAAUAAUGUCCUAUGCUCGGCACAAAGGUCUGGUUGGUUCUUGAAGCCAAAUUGAUUCAUUCGGGAGGGAGGUUUCUGCAAAGCUUUGAAAUGUCUUCUCAGGCUACCGAAUUUAGGAUCCAUCCGAUGCGCCAGCUCUAGGACAUCAUGUGGACGACAUCACCCUAUUAGUUUCCCACAAAUUGUACCAACCCACGCCACCGAUGUCCACGAGAUGGAUGAGAUAGAAUGGACGCAUAUCUCCCGGUCAAACUCACCAUUCCCUGCAUGUGGUUAGAAACUAGCUGCCAUUGAAAAGUCCAAAGUAGCAAUUGGGGUCAAUUCUAGUGAAGACGAGUCGUUGAUGUUGUGCAAUAUUUGUAACGCAGGGAAUACCUGUUAUAAUGAAAUUGAUUUUUUCCCUUGAA